UAGGGAAUCUUCGGCAAUGGACGAAAGUCUGACCGAGCAACGCCGCGUGAGUGAAGAAGGUUUUCGGAUCGUAAAACUCUGUUUUUAGAGAAGAACAAGGACGUUAGUAACUGAACGUCCCCUGACGGUAUCUAACCAGAAAGCCACGGCUAACUCCGUGCCAGCAGCCGCGGUAAUACGUAGGUGGCAAGCGUUGUCCGGAUUUAUUGGGCGUAAAGCGAGCGCAGGCGGUUUCUUAAGUCUGAUGUGAAAGCCCCCGGCUCAACCGGGGAGGGUCAUUGGAAGCUGGGAGACUUGAGUGCAGAAGAGGAGAGUGAAAUUCCAUGUGUAGCGGUGAAAUGCGUAGAUAUAUGGAGGAACACCAGUGGCGAAGGCGGCUCUCUGGUCUGUAACUGACGCUGAGGCUCGAAAGCGUGGGGAACAAACAGG
Molecule: ribosomal RNA, 429 nt
Filed under: Gemmatimonadota bacterium
Lineage: Bacteria; Pseudomonadati; Gemmatimonadota
Description: Gemmatimonadetes bacterium partial 16S ribosomal RNA
Rfam family: Bacterial small subunit ribosomal RNA
Source: RNAcentral